UUGGCCUACGGGACGCAGCAGUGGGGAAUAUUGCACAAUGGGCGAAAGCCUGAUGCAGCAACGCCGCGUGAAGGAAGAAGGGUUUCGGCUCGUAAACUUCUCUUAACAGGGACGAAAGAAAUGACGGUACCUGAAUAAGAAGCCCCGGCUAACUACGUACCAGCAGCCGCGGUAAUACGUAGGUGGCAAGCGUUGUCCGGAUUUACUGGGUGUAAAGGGCGUGCAGCCGGGCUGACAAGUCAGAUGUGAAAUCCCGCGGCUCAACCGCGGAACUGCAUUUGAAACUGUCAGUCUUGAGUACCGGG
This 305-nucleotide ribosomal RNA is filed under the name uncultured bacterium. RNAcentral's name for it is "bacterial SSU rRNA". It matches the Rfam family "Bacterial small subunit ribosomal RNA", at positions 334 to 653 of the family's 1533-position model. The record is from RNAcentral.